Fukomys damarensis (Damara mole-rat) is the source of this 461-nucleotide long non-coding RNA. RefSeq lists it as uncharacterized. NCBI's taxonomy places the organism in Eukaryota, Metazoa, Chordata, Mammalia, Rodentia, Bathyergidae. The transcript has 4 exons. The record is from RefSeq and is a predicted model, not a curated record.
GGUAGGGCCGCAGAGCGCGCAUGCCCGUGUGUGCAGGCGAAGCGCGUCCAUUCUCACACCAGGAAGAGCUGCCCCGUCCUGCGACCUGGCCCGAGGCGCCAAGGGAGACUGGAAACUGCUCUCCUCCAGCAUCGAAAUGACCACGAAAGGGAAAUGUUUUGCAUCUAGUCAGGACAUCCAAGGCAGCCACCACAGUCCUACUAAGGCACUCAGGAAACAGGACUCCAGAGCUGCUUCAGAAAGUGACAAGAAUGAUAGCUUCAUAUGCACUGUGCUCUCACAUGCUGUGGACCAAGGCCAGUCACACUGAGGCCACAUCAUGGGGCAGAGCAGAAGCCACGUCCCCUCAGUGUCCCUGGAGGCCACUGGGCACUGUGCCCUGACCUGACUGAGGUGGCCUGGUGGCCCAGACCAGCAUUUUUAUAACCUGCUUCAAACAGAAUAAACACAACGAGCAAGAG